Long non-coding RNA from Spinacia oleracea (spinach), 1610 nucleotides. RefSeq lists it as uncharacterized. The record is from RefSeq and is a predicted model, not a curated record. Lineage: Eukaryota; Viridiplantae; Streptophyta; Magnoliopsida; Caryophyllales; Amaranthaceae. The transcript has 3 exons.
UAAAAAAUAUAGGAAAAAAGUAAAAAAAAAAUUAACCGCCUCAGCUCUCUUUCUUCCCUCGGAUCUGCAAAGCCUCAAAACCCCAAAAGUCUCAAUAGACGCCGAAACCAUCCUUCACACAGCGGCAAUUUCCUUCACCCGGUGGUGCUUCAUCUCAAUGUGAAAUCGAAUAUCAAGGCCAUUUAUUCGGUUCAUCUCUGAUGAAGCUGCUGCAUAUCAGCUUGCCACAAAUGAAAUACAGUUUUUUGAUCCUGCUGAUUUCUCUAAAGGAUUUAUAUCUCAUCUCAAAGUUAAACGAACAGAUGUUGGUUUGAUCUAAUAUCUCGGUUGAUGCUUCAAAGCUUUGUUUUUGUGCUAAGCUAAUAUAAUUUGUAUCCAUGUUCUAUAACUUAAAUGUCACCUUUGACUUGUAGGUAAUAGUCUUCACAACAGAAAAGUGUCCCAUCAUAUUAUGUGUCAGCGACAUUGAAAGACUACUGCUUCAAUCAGACAUGUUAUGCAAUUUGUUCGACAACUUGUUGCCUACGUUGAGUGGUUCUGUCUUGGUGCUUGGGUCUCGUAUCUUAGAUGCAAACACUAUGAGAAAGCGGAUGAGAGGCUUACCUUAUUGUUUCCCUACAAUAUCGACAUAAGGCCUCCAGUAGAUGAGACUAAUCUUGUUAACUGGAACUCCCAACUAGAAGAGGACGUGAAGACGAUCCAGUUUCAGGAUAACAAGAACCACAUUGAUGAGGUUCUUGCAGCUAAUGAUCUUGUAUGUGAUAAUCCGAGAUAUAUCUGUCAUUCAGUACUUUAACCCUCAACGAUCAUAUCGAUAAAACUGUUAUGUCUGCAAUAUUAUUUCAUUUAAUGAAUAACAACGAGCCUGAAUACUUAAAUGGGAAGCUAGUCAUAUCUUCUGGCAGUUUGUCCCACAAGUUGAGUUUAUUCCAAGAAGGCAAAAGAAUGGGCAGAAAGAUGGAAACAAAUUGUGAAACUGGAAAGGAAAUGGAUGAUUCUGCUGCUGUGAAACCUGAUGGGAAGAAUGAAACAUCUGGACCGGUGUUGAAUUGCUGAUAACAAAGGUGAUUCAGUUCCUCUGACAAAGAACUCUGAGAAUUCAGCUCAUCCAAAGGAAGUAACUCCAGACAAUGAAUUUGAAAAUCACAUUAGGCCAGAGGUCAUUCCUGCAAAUGAGAUUGGAGUUUCAUUCAAUGACAUUGGAUCCCUGGAUGAGAUUGAAGAGUCCAUACAGGAACUAGUGUGCUUCCCUUGAGAAGGCCAGACCUGUUCAAAGUUGGACUUUUGAAAAUACUCUGUUUUGGCUGGAAUUCGAGCUGGAUUAGACAUGGUUGGUGACCAUAUAAGCAAACAUCACAAUAUUUUCUUUUGAAGUUGGUUGAAGUUGUUUUCCUAGGGAAUCAUCAGGUAGUUUAGUAUAUGAGACAACCAUUCAGUUCCCUUUCGGUCAACUUUUCCAUGUCCUAAUUUUUUUACGUUAGCCUUUGUUAAGUCAAUUUUAUUUUUCUAUACAGUUCUUACGGUAAUGUUAAUCCUUUCGUAUUUUUUUCCUUCUAUAUAUAUAUAUAUAUAUAUAUAUAUAUAUAUAUAGGGUAGGGAUCCGGUGAGAA